Molecule: unclassified non-coding RNA, 240 nt
Filed under: soil metagenome
Description: partial contains 5.8S ribosomal RNA, internal transcribed spacer 2, and large subunit ribosomal RNA
Source: RNAcentral
AACGCACGAGACCUGCGGACCUGCGGAAGGAUCAUUAAUGAGAGACUGCCCCUCGCGGGUAGAUCUCCCACCCUUUGUAAACUUACCUUUGUUGCUUUGGCAGGCCCGUCUCCGGACCGCCGGCUUCGGCUGGCCAGUGCCUGCCAGAGGAUUCUAAAACUCUGUCUGUCAGUGUUGUCUGAGUCUAUAUACAAUCGUUAAAACUUUCAACAACGGAUCUCUAGAUCGGAAGAGCACACG